Molecule: ribosomal RNA, 305 nt
Filed under: uncultured bacterium
Lineage: Bacteria
Description: bacterial SSU rRNA
Rfam family: Bacterial small subunit ribosomal RNA
Source: RNAcentral
CCUACGGGACGCAGCAGUGAGGAAUAUUGGUCAAUGGCCGGAAGGCUGAACCAGCCAAGUCGCGUGAGGGAAUAAGGCCCUAUGGGUCGUAAACCUCUUUUGUCAGGGAGCAAAGGCGUCCACGUGUGGACGAGAGGAGAGUACCUGAAGAAAAAGCAUCGGCUAACUCCGUGCCAGCAGCCGCGGUAAUACGGAGGAUGCGAGCGUUAUCCGGAUUUAUUGGGUUUAAAGGGUGCGCAGGCGGUCUGUUAAGUCAGCGGUCAAAGCCCGGGGCUCAACCCCGGCCCGCCGUUGAAACUGGCAGU